GGAUGUGAAUCGUUAUCAAAGAAACAAAAUUGUACAACGCCAUCAAAUUUCAAAUACCACUGUGUAAUGAAUGUCUUUGAAAAUGAAACAAUAGAGGUUUGCGCGCCAGCUCUGUAUAUAAUGGGAUAUUGUGCUGAGUUUAAUAUCCAAGGGGGACGGAUUCAACCUCAUUAUCAGAUAAAAUGCACAGAAAUGGAUCCUCCGUGUCCAAAACGGUAUAUUUCAACAGAGGCAUUUAAAUAUACCUCCUGCUUUAAAAAAGUAAAAGAUACAUCCGAAUCAUCGUCAAAAGAAAAAGG
Saccostrea echinata is the source of this 299-nucleotide long non-coding RNA. RefSeq lists it as uncharacterized. The transcript is spliced from 3 exons. The record is from RefSeq and is a predicted model, not a curated record. Lineage: Eukaryota; Metazoa; Mollusca; Bivalvia; Ostreida; Ostreidae.